UUAAAACUUUUAGUUUAAUUUUAGAAUGUUUCAUUUACAAUGAAGUGGUUAAAAGUUUU
This 59-nucleotide transfer RNA is filed under the name Paramacropostrongylus iugalis. RNAcentral describes it as "tRNA-Val". The record is from RNAcentral. Lineage: Eukaryota; Metazoa; Nematoda; Chromadorea; Rhabditida; Strongylidae.